ACUUGCGCCCAUACCACCCUGUCUGCGCCUGAUUUAGUCUGAUCUCGGAAGCUAAGCAGGGUCGUUCCUGGUUAGUCCUUGGAUGGGAGACCGCCUGGGAAUAUCAGGUGUUGUAAACU
This 119-nucleotide ribosomal RNA is filed under the name Sinocyclocheilus rhinocerous. The record is from RNAcentral. Lineage: Eukaryota; Metazoa; Chordata; Actinopteri; Cypriniformes; Cyprinidae.